UGGGGAAUAUUGGACAAUGGGCGCAAGCCUGAUGCAGCCAUGCCGCGUGUAUGAAGAAGGCCUUCGGGUUGUAAAGCACUUUAAGCGAGGAGGAGGCUACUUGGAUUAAUACUCUAGGAUAGUGGACGUUACUCGCAGAAUAAGCACCGGCUAACUCUGUG
RNAcentral lists this ribosomal RNA (161 nucleotides) under uncultured Acinetobacter sp. RNAcentral's name for it is "partial 16S ribosomal RNA". It matches the Rfam family "Bacterial small subunit ribosomal RNA", at positions 355 to 507 of the family's 1533-position model. The record is from RNAcentral. Lineage: Bacteria; Pseudomonadati; Pseudomonadota; Gammaproteobacteria; Moraxellales; Moraxellaceae.